GAUUAAGUUAUUAAGGGCGCACGGUGGAUGCCUUGGCACUAGAAGCCGAUGAAGGACGUUACUAACGACGAUAUGCUUUGGGGAGCUGUAAGUAAGCUUUGAUCCAGAGAUUUCCGAAUGGGGAAACCCAGCAUGAGUUAUGUCAUGUUAUCGAUAUGUGAAUACAUAGCAUAUCAGAAGGCACACCCGGAGAACUGAAACAUCUUAGUACCCGGAGGAAGAGAAAGAAAAUUCGAUUCCCUUAGUAGCGGCGAGCGAAACGGGAAGAGCCCAAACCAACAAGCUUGCUUGUUGGGGUUGUAGGACACUCUAUACGGAGUUACAAAGGACGACAUUAGACGAAUCAUCUGGAAAGAUGAAUCAAAGAAGGUAAUAAUCCUGUAGUCGAAAAUGUUGUCUCUCUUGAGUGGAUCCUGAGUACGACGGAGCACGUGAAAUUCCGUCGGAAUCUGGGAGGACCAUCUCCUAAGGCUAAAUACUCUCUAGUGACCGAUAGUGAACCAGUACCGUGAGGGAAAGGUGAAAAGCACCCCGGAAGGGGAGUGAAAUAGAACCUGAAACCGUGUGCUUACAAGUAGUCAGAGCCCGUUAAUGGGUGAUGGCGUGCCUUUUGUAGAAUGAACCGGCGAGUUACGAUUUGAUGCAAGGUUAAGCAGUAAAUGUGGAGCCGUAGCGAAAGCGAGUCUGAAUAGGGCGUUUAGUAUUUGGUCGUAGACCCGAAACCAGGUGAUCUACCCUUGGUCAGGUUGAAGUUCAGGUAACACUGAAUGGAGGACCGAACCGACUUACGUUGAAAAGUGAGCGGAUGAACUGAGGGUAGCGGAGAAAUUCCAAUCGAACCUGGAGAUAGCUGGUUCUCUCCGAAAUAGCUUUAGGGCUAGCCUCAAGUGAUGAUUAUUGGAGGUAGAGCACUGUUUGGACGAGGGGCCCCUCUCGGGUUACCGAAUUCAGACAAACUCCGAAUGCCAAUUAAUUUAACUUGGGAGUCAGAACAUGGGUGAUAAGGUCCGUGUUCGAAAGGGAAACAGCCCAGACCACCAGCUAAGGUCCCAAAAUAUAUGUUAAGUGGAAAAGGAUGUGGCGUUGCCCAGACAACUAGGAUGUUGGCUUAGAAGCAGCCAUCAUUUAAAGAGUGCGUAAUAGCUCACUAGUCGAGUGACACUGCGCCGAAAAUGUACCGGGGCUAAACAUAUUACCGAAGCUGUGGAUUGUCCUUUGGACAAUGGUAGGAGAGCGUUCUAAGGGCGUUGAAGCAUGAUCGUAAGGACAUGUGGAGCGCUUAGAAGUGAGAAUGCCGGUGUGAGUAGCGAAAGACGGGUGAGAAUCCCGUCCACCGAUUGACUAAGGUUUCCAGAGGAAGGCUCGUCCGCUCUGGGUUAGUCGGGUCCUAAGCUGAGGCCGACAGGCGUAGGCGAUGGAUAACAGGUUGAUAUUCCUGUACCACCUAUAAUCGUUUUAAUCGAUGGGGGGACGCAGUAGGAUAGGCGAAGCGUGCGAUUGGAUUGCACGUCUAAGCAGUAAGGCUGAGUAUUAGGCAAAUCCGGUACUCGUUAAGGCUGAGCUGUGAUGGGGAGAAGACAUUGUGUCUUCGAGUCGUUGAUUUCACACUGCCGAGAAAAGCCUCUAGAUAGAAAAUAGGUGCCCGUACCGCAAACCGACACAGGUAGUCAAGAUGAGAAUUCUAAGGUGAGCGAGCGAACUCUCGUUAAGGAACUCGGCAAAAUGACCCCGUAACUUCGGGAGAAGGGGUGCUCUUUAGGGUUAACGCCCAGAAGAGCCGCAGUGAAUAGGCCCAAGCGACUGUUUAUCAAAAACACAGGUCUCUGCUAAACCGUAAGGUGAUGUAUAGGGGCUGACGCCUGCCCGGUGCUGGAAGGUUAAGAGGAGUGGUUAGCUUCUGCGAAGCUACGAAUCGAAGCCCCAGUAAACGGCGGCCGUAACUAUAACGGUCCUAAGGUAGCGAAAUUCCUUGUCGGGUAAGUUCCGACCCGCACGAAAGGCGUAACGAUUUGGGCACUGUCUCAACGAGAGACUCGGUGAAAUCAUAGUACCUGUGAAGAUGCAGGUUACCCGCGACAGGACGGAAAGACCCCGUGGAGCUUUACUGUAGCCUGAUAUUGAAAUUCGGCACAGCUUGUACAGGAUAGGUAGGAGCCUUUGAAACGUGAGCGCUAGCUUACGUGGAGGCGCUGGUGGGAUACUACCUUAGCUGUGUUGGCUUUCUAACCCGCACCACUUAUCGUGGUGGGAGACAGUGUCAGGCGGGCAGUUUGACUGGGGCGGUCGCCUCCUAAAAGGUAACGGAGGCGCUCAAAGGUUCCCUCAGAAUGGUUGGAAAUCAUUCAUAGAGUGUAAAGGCAUAAGGGAGCUUGACUGCGAGACCUACAAGUCGAGCAGGGUCGAAAGACGGACUUAGUGAUCCGGUGGUUCCGCAUGGAAGGGCCAUCGCUCAACGGAUAAAAGCUACCCCGGGGAUAACAGGCUUAUCUCCCCCAAGAGUUCACAUCGACGGGGAGGUUUGGCACCUCGAUGUCGGCUCAUCGCAUCCUGGGGCUGUAGUCGGUCCCAAGGGUUGGGCUGUUCGCCCAUUAAAGCGGUACGCGAGCUGGGUUCAGAACGUCGUGAGACAGUUCGGUCCCUAUCCGUCGUGGGCGUAGGAAAUUUGAGAGGAGCUGUCCUUAGUACGAGAGGACCGGGAUGGACAUACCUCUGGUGUACCAGUUGUCGUGCCAACGGCAUAGCUGGGUAGCUAUGUGUGGACGGGAUAAGUGCUGAAAGCAUCUAAGCAUGAAGCCCCCCUCAAGAUGAGAUUUCCCAACUUCGGUUAUAAGAUCCCUCAAAGAUGAUGAGGUUAAUAGGUUCGAGGUGGAAGCAUGGUGACAUGUGGAGCUGACGAAUACUAAUCGAUCGAAGACUUAAUCAA
Molecule: ribosomal RNA, 2923 nt
Filed under: Staphylococcus aureus
Lineage: Bacteria; Bacillati; Bacillota; Bacilli; Caryophanales; Staphylococcaceae
Description: 23S ribosomal RNA
Rfam family: Bacterial large subunit ribosomal RNA
Source: RNAcentral